Non-coding RNA from Aegilops tauschii subsp. strangulata, 1468 nucleotides. Lineage: Eukaryota; Viridiplantae; Streptophyta; Magnoliopsida; Poales; Poaceae. The record is from RefSeq and is a predicted model, not a curated record.
GAAAAGCGGUGGAGGCCGAAGUAGAGGGGCUCGUUCUUCCCACCCCGAGUGCCGGCUAGGGUUGCCACCGCCGCCGCUGCCGCCGCCCCAAUCCUGCUCCGCCCGCCUCGUCUCGCCUCAGAGAGGAGGAAGACUUGCUCUUCCAUGGCUCGCAGAGGAGCCGUCGCCCCCGCCGCCACGACGGAGAUGGAGUACCUGGACUGGAAGAAGUGCGCGCCCGUGCUCUACGACCUCGUCAUGUCCCAGCCACUCGAGUUGCCCUCGCUCACCUUCCAGUGGCUCCUCUCAGAGUCGCCAGCCUCCACCCGCUCCCACAACCUCGUCCUCGGCACCCACACCUCCGAUGACUCCCCCAACCACCUCAUGCUCGUCGACCCGUGCUCUAACUCCUGCCGCGCCUGACCGUGGCGGCUGCCGCCGAGGGCCGCGCCGCCCCGUCCGUGUCCAUCGGUCACUCAGCUCCGCAUAAGGGCGAGGUCAAUAGUGCCGGGUGCAUGUCUACCGCCUUGGGGAGGACGGCGAUCUCAAGGCCGGGAAUCGAGCCCCAGUUCUAGAUGCGCAACAGGUGUUUGAGGUAAUGUCCCAACAGAUGCUCCUGUGCUUUGAAUACUAUAUACUGUGAUGUUAUUAGCUACGUUUGAAUGAGAAUUAAUUAAUACUUCCGCCUUCAUAAGACAUCCGGGACCGCACCAUGAAAGAGCGGGAGAUGCCGAGCUACAUCAGGAUGCCGUUCCCUCUGACGCCUCUUGCGUCUCUCUUUUCUGCCCUUGCUUCGAUUCGAUUCGAUUUGGAUGUUGCGUUGUUGUUACUCAUGAAGGUCCGAUUUGCUUUACUUCCUGAUACGGUCACGCAGGUUGCUGUUAAGGCCUCGAGCUGGCUGCGACCAAGCACGGCCUCUAGCUCGCCCUGCACCACGAUUGCAGUCGCGCGGCUGAUGACCACGGGCUGCUCGACGCACGGACGACAAGCACGGCAUCCGCGAUCAAGGAGAACCUGAGAUGCAACAUCAACGUGGUGGUCAUAUAUCAGAAAGGCAAGUUCUUAUGAAUGAAAGGUCAAGAUCUCCGGCGGCAGGCCAACGGACACCAUCUCGAGCCAUCGGUACGUGUACGCCGCAUACUGUCUUGCCUUUUGAUUGCAUAAUCUGCACUGUAAUUGUGGCCUAGCCGUCGUGUAAUGCCUGUAUGCUAGGAACACAUGUUGUACCUGUCUGUUUUGUGUCAGUGAUUUGGUUUUCUGUUGAUUGUCUGAAUGAAAUGGUGGCAAUUAAUGUGUGUACCAUUUUAACCAGCAACCAUGAAAAUGAUUGAGUUGCUUACUACAUGUCAUGUUAUAUGCACUGGUUUUCAGAUCAUGGUGUGGAGCUUGAGGUAGCUUAAUUUACACCCAUUUAUUUGAUGUUUUGACCAGUCAUGAGUAAGGGCAACUUGUCGUGUUUCAAGUUUAUGACAGAAAUAAUUUGUAUAUU